RNAcentral lists this ribosomal RNA (428 nucleotides) under uncultured archaeon. Its description in RNAcentral is "bacterial SSU rRNA". It matches the Rfam family "Archaeal small subunit ribosomal RNA", at positions 474 to 903 of the family's 1478-position model. The record is from RNAcentral.
UACCUGCAGCUCAAGUGGUGGCCGCUAUUAUUGGGCCUAAAACGUCCGUAGCCGGUUUGGUAAAUGCCUGGGUAAAUCGUGUAGCUUAACUAUACGAAUUCUGGGUAGACUGUCAAACUUGAGACCGGGAGAGGCUAGAGGUACUCUUGGGGUAGAGGUGAAAUUCUGUAAUCCUAGGGGGACCACCAGUGGCGAAGGCGUCUAGCUAGAACGGGUCUGACGGUGAGGGACGAAGCCCUGGGGCACAAACCGGAUUAGAUACCCGGGUAGUCCAGGGUGUAAACGCUGCUUGCUUGAUGUUAGUUGGGCUCUGAGCCCAACUAGUGUCGGAGAGAAGUUGUUAAGCAAGCUGCCUGGGAAGUGCGGCCGCAAGGCUGAAACUUAAAGGAAUUGGCGGGGAGCACCACAAGGGGUGAAGCUUGCGGUUU